UAAAGGCGAAGAACCUUACCAAGGCUUGACAUACACCGGAAACGGCCAGAGAUGGUCGCCCCCUUGUGGUCGGUGUACAGGUGGUGCAUGGUUGUCGUCAGCUCGUGUCGUGAGAUGUUGGGUUAAGUCCCGCAACGAGCGCAACCCUCGUUCUAUGUUGCCAGCGCGUUAUGGCGGGGACUCAUAGGAGACUGCCGGGGUCAACUCGGAGGAAGGUGGGGAUGACGUCAAAUCAUCAUGCCCCUUAUGUCUUGGGCUUCACGCAUGCUACAAUGGCCGGUACAAAGGGCUGCGAUACCGUAAGGUGGAGCGAAUCCCAAAAAACCGGUCUCAGUUCGGAUUGAGGUCUGCAACUCGACCUCAUGAAGUCGGAGUCGCUAGUAAUCGCAGAUCAGCA
This 397-nucleotide ribosomal RNA is filed under the name uncultured bacterium. RNAcentral's name for it is "bacterial SSU rRNA". It matches the Rfam family "Bacterial small subunit ribosomal RNA", at positions 956 to 1354 of the family's 1533-position model. The record is from RNAcentral.